Molecule: long non-coding RNA, 168 nt
Organism: Juglans microcarpa x Juglans regia
Lineage: Eukaryota; Viridiplantae; Streptophyta; Magnoliopsida; Fagales; Juglandaceae
Exons: 3
Source: RefSeq, a predicted model, not a curated record
AGAAAAUGAGACUCAAGUUGCUCCAUCCACAAAGCAUCAUCCACCACAAGCCGCCACCCUCCACAACCUCCAUGCAGUACCGUCGUUGUCUCUACACCUCCACACCCACGGCGUUAGACCUCGUUUGCAGCCUAGUUACACGACCUCACCAUCACAAAAGCCCACGCC